GACGAACGCUGGCGGCGUGCUUAACACAUGCAAGUCGAACGGAAAGGCCCUGCUUUUGUGGGGUGCUCGAGUGGCGAACGGGUGAGUAACACGUGAGUAACCUGCCCUUGACUUUGUGAUAACUUCAGGAAACUGGGGCUAAUACCGGAUAGGAGCUCCUGCUGCAUGGUGGGGGUUGGAAAGUUUCGGCGGUUGGGGAUGGACUCGCGGCUUAUCAGCUUGUUGGUGGGGUAGUGGCUUACCAAGGCUUUGACGGGUAGCCGGCCUGAGAGGGUGACCGGCCACAUUGGGACUGAGAUACGGCCCAGACUGCUACGGGAGGCAGCAGUGGGGAAUAUUGCACAAUGGGCGGAAGCCUGAUGCAGCAACGCCGCGUGCGGGAUGACGGCCUUCGGGUUGUAAACCGCUUUCGCCUGUGACGAAGCGUGAGUGACGGUAAUGGGUAAAGAAGCACCGGCUAACUACGUG
This 468-nucleotide ribosomal RNA is filed under the name uncultured bacterium. Its description in RNAcentral is "partial 16S ribosomal RNA". It matches the Rfam family "Bacterial small subunit ribosomal RNA", at positions 28 to 507 of the family's 1533-position model. The record is from RNAcentral.